UUUUAUCUCUCAGAAACAAAAACGAAAAGCAAAAUUGAAGCUUUCAUCCUUGUUUCGCUUUUGAUUUACUGGGGAAAAGUCUUUCAUCUUCGAUUUCGUUCAUUUUGGAAUCAAAGAUCCCAAAGAGAGAAAUCAGGGUUCAUAAAUGUCUCUCUGGUUUGGUUUUCAGUAUGUUUUAAUCAAGGGAUUUUUUUGAUUUCGAUGUGGAUUUUGAUUUAGAAGGGUAAAUUGAUGUUUUCUGAAAUUCGAAACUGGGGAAAUUGAUGUUUUGAUUUAUUGUUAUUUUUCUUUUGAGAAUCAAUGUUAGGGUUUGGUGAUGAAGUGGGUAUGGAUUGGUUUUUCCAUCAUACUACGUCAAACCCAAUUUUCUGUCAAUUGAGAAAUGAUUACAUGUGAGAAUUUCUGUGUUUUUUCUUGUAAUUUUACGCAUUAAAUUUCUGUACUCAACUGUGAAGUUCCCGGAUCUUGUGAGAGUCCUCAAUUGAGAAAAUUGAUGCUUAUUAACCUGUGGAAAGAUAAUUUUGAGUCUAUAUUUCUUGAAUAUCAGGGAUGGGUGAUGUUUGUUUUCUUUUUCCUAUGGAUUUCAGUUAUUCAAACUCUGAUUGUGUUUGUCGAAUUAUCUGUCAUUUCUGAUUUUGUGAUAUGGUGAUGUUGAUUCAAGGAUGUUUUCAUGGCCAAAUUUAUACAAUUGAUAGAGAUUUGUACAUCGAAUAAGGCGAUUAUUAGAAUUACUGGGUAUAUAUUCAAUCAAUUCUUCAUUUGUAAACUUGGAGUUUUGUUGACAUUGUUUGCGAAGUAUUACACUGCAUUUUUGAUUUAAUGUUCCACCUGAAAUUAGCGUUGUCGAACUGAACUAUAUGUCAUAUGUGAUGUAGUGAUGUUGAUUCAAGGAUAUUUUUAUUCCCAAAGUUACAAUCGAUGGAGAUUCGCGUACAUCGGCUAUGCGAUUAAUAAAAUUACUGGAUGAAUUUCAACUUCAUUCAAUGAAUUCCCCUUUUCAUUUGGAAACUCAGAGUUUCCUUAAUUGUUAACUGGUUCUUAAGCGUUGAUGCUAGUUGCGAGAGUACAUGUUUGGAUCAUGCAUUAGCUUUUAGUUUAUAUUCUUUGGUUUGAGUUCUGAAUUCUUCAUAUGUUUAAGUUCUUAAAUUGAUUUUCCAAGGCUGAAAAAACACGAGUUUUCUUACAUUACAUUUGAUUAUGGGUAUUGGGUAUUUGAGAAAAGAUUCUUUUUUUUGGGUUCCGCGGGUGUUUUAGAUUCCACUAAUUUUCUUAGUUUAAUAAUAGAAUAAUUUGUUCAAUUACAUUUCCCUCACACGGCACACAUAUAUGUAAAAUUUGAGUAAGAUAGUGGUCUAAUACAUUGCAUUUUGACAUUUCUCAGCGAGCUCACUAGCAUGUAUGACCCGAAGCAAGUAAAAGACAUCAGUUUGGAUGAUUUGGAUAUGGCUUUGAAGGAAUCAGGUCUGGAACAUGCAUUUAUUUCUGGUGAAAACAAUAUAAGGAAACACAUAGGUUGAUCUGGUUGAUUUUUAAUUAUAGUCAGUACUUAACCCCAUCCUAUUGCUCUGUAACUUCAACUGUUAGGAGAUGCCCGGACUUGUUAAUAAGAUUUCAAAAUUUCUCUUGAUUCUUUAGGACAUACAUCAGUACUUCAUCAGAAUUGUCCUCUUUAACAUUCCUCAAGUCACAAAAGUGGUUGGUUUUUCAAAAUGUUUAAUGAAUAGUUGCAGGUUAUUGGUUAUAACAUUGACGAAUACAUAUAUCUGCAUUGGCUUCAUUAGUAAUCUGUGGAAAAUGAAAAUUAACUUUCAAGAUUGUGCAAGUUAUAAGAGAUGGGAGCAUACAAGUGCUCGACUUUAAUGAUGCUACUUCUACGUCAUAACAUCACUCUGUGGACCUCCUGUAUGCAGGACUAAAUUAAACAUUCAACACAAGCACCAGCAACGGCCGUGGAAUAAGUAUGUGCAGGAAUGAAUUUGCUUUAAUCUGCUGAUAUAUUUUCAAUGUCUGUUUUUAUUUUUCUUCAUAAGGAUGUUAUAUAUUGAUUCAUUUAAUCUGCAAAUUUAUUGAAGGCAUUCUCACGGUUGAUAACGGGGAUUGCAAUUGAUAUAGUAGCUAGUAGUUGCUGUAAAACGGAUAACUUAAAUUAACUUUAAGAAGUAUAAUGA
Long non-coding RNA from Papaver somniferum (opium poppy), 2168 nucleotides. RefSeq lists it as uncharacterized. The transcript is spliced from 2 exons. The record is from RefSeq and is a predicted model, not a curated record. NCBI's taxonomy places the organism in Eukaryota, Viridiplantae, Streptophyta, Magnoliopsida, Ranunculales, Papaveraceae.